CUCGUUGGUGGGGUAACGGCCUACCAAGGCGACGAUCGGUAGCUGGUCUCAGAGGAUGAUCAGCCAGACUGGGACUGAGACACGGCCCAGACUCCUACGGGAGGCAGCAGUUAGGAAUUUUGGGCAAUGGGCGCAAGCCUGACCCAGCAACGCCGCGUGGGUGAAGAAGGCCUUCGGGUUGUAAAGCCCUUUUCUGAGGGAAGAUGAUGACGGUACCUCAGGAAGAAGCACCGGCUAACUACGUGCCAGCAGCCGCGGUAAUACGUAGGGUGCGAGCGUUGCCCGGAUUUAUUGGGCGUAAAGGGCGCGUAGGCGGCCACGCACGUCCGUUGUGAAAUCGCUCGGCUCAACUGGGCGGGGUCAGCGGAUACGGUGUGGCUGGAGCAAGCUAGGGGGCAAUGGAAUUCCCGGUGUAGUGGUGGAAUGCGUAGAUAUCGGGAGGAACACCAGUGGCGAAGGCGGUUGCCUGGAGCUUUGCUGACGCUGAUGCGCGAAAGCGUGGGGAGCGAUCCGGAUUAGAUACCCGGGUAGUCCACGCCGUAAACGAUGCGGACUAGGUGUCGGGGGUAUCGACCCCCUCGGCGCCGCAGCUAACGCAUUAAGUCCGCCGCCUGGGGACUACGGCCGCAAGGCUAAAACUCAAAGGAAUUGACG
Molecule: ribosomal RNA, 654 nt
Filed under: uncultured bacterium
Lineage: Bacteria
Description: SSU rRNA
Rfam family: Bacterial small subunit ribosomal RNA
Source: RNAcentral